RNAcentral lists this ribosomal RNA (253 nucleotides) under uncultured bacterium. RNAcentral's name for it is "partial 16S ribosomal RNA". It matches the Rfam family "Bacterial small subunit ribosomal RNA", at positions 524 to 776 of the family's 1533-position model. The record is from RNAcentral.
UACGGAGGAUGCGAGCGUUAUCCGGAAUCACUGGGUUUAAAGGGUGCGUAGGUGGGCAGAUAAGUCAGAGGUGAAAGCUGGUCGCUUAACGAUCAAAUUGCCUUUGAUACUGUUUGUCUUGAAAUAUGGUGAGGUUGGCAGAAUGUGACAUGUAGCGGUGAAAUGCAUAGAUAUGUCAUAGAAUACCAAUUGCGAAGGCAGCUGACUGGCCAUUAUUUGACACUGAGGCACGAAAGCGUGGGGAGCGAACAGG